RNAcentral lists this ribosomal RNA (253 nucleotides) under uncultured bacterium. Its description in RNAcentral is "partial 16S ribosomal RNA". It matches the Rfam family "Bacterial small subunit ribosomal RNA", at positions 524 to 776 of the family's 1533-position model. The record is from RNAcentral.
UACGUAGGUGGCAAGCGUUGUCCGGAUUUAUUGGGUUUAAAGGGUGCGUAGGCGGUUCCUUAAGUCAGUGGUGAAAUACUUCAGCUCAACUGGAGAGGUGCCAUUGAUACUGGGGAACUUGAGUACUGAUGAGGUAGGCGGAAUGGACGGUGUAGCGGUGAAAUGCUUAGAUAUCGUCCAGAACACCGAUAGCGAAGGCAGCUUACUAAGCUGUAACUGACACUGAGGCACGAAAGUGUGGGGAUCAAACAGG